GGGUGGAAUAUUAAAGAUGAUAGAUAGUACACCUAAUAAGCAUGAAAGAUUAGAUGUGUAAAAUUAAAUAGUACUACUACUGUUAUACCAGAAUUAAUUUGUACACCCAUCAAGAUUAGUACUGCUGUCUAUAUGGAGUAUUUUACAACAAUGAAAUGAAAUGAAAUAUGAAGCCCACCCAAAAUUUUAAGCAAUAAUUAAUAAAGAAAAUCAAAAAGAAAAGAAAGUAGCUGAUCCUCCCUCCUCAUGAACUGGUCCGUCCGUCCGUCCAAUUAAUUAAGAAGUAAUUAAUCCAAUUCCAAUUAGUUAAUCUCGGGGAUAGUUUGAAGGACAGGCCUCCAUGACCGUUGAUAAUGAAUUUCAAAAUGAUCUUCAUAAUUCCUAUCGUUGAUCAAGCGAGCAAGAACUUGGUCCACAGAAAUGCCGUGCACCUCAGCUCUUCCUAGCAACUCCUCUAGCUGCUUCUUUGUAAUCUUAAUCUUUAUUUCUCUGUAAGAAUUAGAAGAAGAUAGCAAUGAGAAAUUAUUAUGGUGAUCAAGCAAUAGGCUUUCCUUUUCUGUAUUGUGUGGUGUCGACACCAUUGAAGUUGAUGAUGCUUCAACUGAUCUACAACACGAGUUUCCCAUUAAUUAUAGAUGUAUAUGUACGUGUUUUUUAUAAGAGGAUUUUAGGACCCUGAGGAGUGAGGAUUGUGUUGGGACUUGCAGCUGUGAGAGGAGAAGAUAGAAGGAUAGAGAUGAGGGGAGAUGCAUAUAUAUAGAGAGAGAGAGAGAAAGAAAGAGGGGGAAAG
RNAcentral lists this long non-coding RNA (790 nucleotides) under Panax ginseng (ginseng). Its description in RNAcentral is "long non-coding RNA (PGIN_LNC011498)". Lineage: Eukaryota; Viridiplantae; Streptophyta; Magnoliopsida; Apiales; Araliaceae. The record is from RNAcentral.